Molecule: unclassified non-coding RNA, 219 nt
Filed under: uncultured Actinomycetes bacterium
Lineage: Bacteria; Bacillati; Actinomycetota; Actinomycetes
Description: uncultured actinobacterium contains 16S-23S intergenic spacer region
Rfam family: Bacterial small subunit ribosomal RNA
Source: RNAcentral
UAGGCUUGACAUGCUAGUUAAAGCGGGUGAAAGCCCGUGUCCGUAAGGGGCUAGCACAGGUGCUGCAUGGCUGUCGUCAGCUCGUGCCGUGAGGUGUUGGCUUAAGUGCCGCAACGAGCGCAACCCCUAUCUUUAGUUGCCAGCGGGUAAUGCCGGGGACUCUAGAGAAACUGCCCGCGCAAGCGGAGAGGAAGGUGGGGAUGACGUGUAACCGAAUCU